UCAGUCGGCCGGACGGCCGCUCCGGCAGGUGCCGAAAGGCCGCCGGGGAGGAAAGUCCGGGCUCCCUUGACAUGCGGUGCCGGAUAACGUCCGGCGGGGGUGACCCCAGGGAAAGUGCCACAGAGAAUGAACCGCCCGCCUUCGCCCUUCGGGGCUUCGGCGCGGUAAGGGUGAAAAGGUGCGGUAAGAGCGCACCGCGGGUCCGGCAACGGAGCCGGCAUGGCAAACCCCACCGGGAGCAAAACCGAAUAGGGACGGCUUAAGCGGGCUGUUCGCGAAGGCGAUAACGCCGCGGGGCGAUGUCAGGCCCGCCGUCCGGGUAGGUUGCUCGAGGCCGUGUGCAAACAUGGUCCCAGAGGAAUGGCCGUCACGUAUCGUUCGCGCAAGCGGACGGUGCCCUACAGAACCCGGCUUACAGGCCGGCUGAUAUC
Bradyrhizobium yuanmingense is the source of this 431-nucleotide non-coding RNA. Lineage: Bacteria; Pseudomonadati; Pseudomonadota; Alphaproteobacteria; Hyphomicrobiales; Nitrobacteraceae. The record is from Rfam.